RNAcentral lists this transfer RNA (66 nucleotides) under Leioscyta nitida. RNAcentral describes it as "tRNA-Leu". The record is from RNAcentral. Lineage: Eukaryota; Metazoa; Arthropoda; Insecta; Hemiptera; Membracidae.
UCUAAUGUGGCAGAAAAUAUGCAAUGAAUUUAAAAUUCAUGUAUAAAUAAUAUAAUUUCUUUAGAA